UGGGGAAUAUUGCACAAUGGGCGAAAGCCUGAUGCAGCGACGCCGCGUGAGGGAUGACGGCCUUCGGGUUGUAAACCUCUUUCAGCAGGGACCAAGCGCGAGUGAGUGUACCUGCAGAAGAAGCACCGGCUAACUACGUGCCAG
Molecule: ribosomal RNA, 144 nt
Filed under: uncultured bacterium
Lineage: Bacteria
Description: partial 16S ribosomal RNA
Rfam family: Bacterial small subunit ribosomal RNA
Source: RNAcentral